AUGUUUUACAACUUAAAAGUUGAGGGAAAACAGAACCGUGGAACUUCAGGUAUGAAACUGCAUGACGUUCAAAUAUAUAAAAAAAUUGCAUUUGAUUUGGUCUCGUCUUGCAUGCAGGCAACAUUUCUGUUCAGGGUCCUCAGCACCACCAGAUUCCUGGAUGUCCUUGCAGGCCAGCUCCCUAGGGAAUAUGAUGUGGUGUGUCAUGUAAAAAAAUCUCAGAUGUUAGUUAGAGAGAAAUCGUUGCUUUCCUAUAAUUCUCAUAAGUGUGGUCUCGUGAGUGUGUCAUGUACAAUUGUUCGUGUUUAA
This 309-nucleotide ribosomal RNA is filed under the name Triticum aestivum (bread wheat). Its description in RNAcentral is "partial small subunit ribosomal RNA". The record is from RNAcentral. Lineage: Eukaryota; Viridiplantae; Streptophyta; Magnoliopsida; Poales; Poaceae.